CUUUGCUAGCUUUUUGGACGUUUCAUAAAAAGUCUCAUUCACCCAUUGUUUUGUGAUUCCAACCUGUUCCACUAUGUUCUCCUGUUGUUCCGUAUCCAUGUAGUCUUCAUCCUUCUCCUGAAAUGCAUCAUAUUUGUUUGUGGUUGUGACCCCCACUUUGUUCCAGACCUGAUUUGUCUUCUUCUUCAUACGACCCCUUUUUUCUUGCCAUUUCUCGUGGAAUUUGUCGUUAUAGCCUUCCACUCUUCUUUCUAUCCCCACACUUUCCCUUUUUUCCAUUGUGCCCCCUAGUUCUGUCC
Molecule: long non-coding RNA, 299 nt
Filed under: Solanum tuberosum (potato)
Lineage: Eukaryota; Viridiplantae; Streptophyta; Magnoliopsida; Solanales; Solanaceae
Description: long non-coding RNA (STUB_LNC003607)
Source: RNAcentral